Molecule: ribosomal RNA, 500 nt
Filed under: uncultured bacterium
Lineage: Bacteria
Description: partial 16S ribosomal RNA
Rfam family: Bacterial small subunit ribosomal RNA
Source: RNAcentral
AUUGAACGCUGGCGGCAUGCCUUACACAUGCAAGUCGAACGGCAGCACGGGAGCAAUCCUGGUGGCGAGUGGCGUACGGGUGAGUAAAGUAUCGGAACGUGCCCAGUCGUGGGGGAUAACGUAGCGAAAGUUACGCUAAUACCGCAUACGAUCUAUGGAUGAAAGCGGGGGAUCGCAAGACCUCGCGCGAUUGGAGCGGCCGAUAUCAGAUUAGGUAGUUGGUAGGGUAAAGGCUCACCAAGCCGACGAUCUGUAGCUGGUCUGAGAGGACGACCAGCCAAAAUGGGACUGAGACACGGCCCAGACUCCUACGGGAGGCAGCAGUGGGGAAUGUUGGACAAGGGGCGAAAGCCUGAUCCAGCCAUGCCGGGUGCAGGAUGAAGGCCUUCGGGUUGAAAACGGCUUUUGUACGGAACGAAAAGGUUUGGGCUAAUAAGCUGAGCUCAUGACGGUACCGUAAGAAUAAGCACCGGCUAACUACGUGCCAGCCGCCGCAGUAA